UACGUAGGUGGCUAGCGUUGUUCGGAAUUACUGGGCAUAAAGGGUCCGUAGGCGGCCUGCUUAGUCCGAUGUGAAAGCCCUCGGCUCAACCGAGGAAUUGCGUCGGAUACUGGCAGGCUUGAGGGUCGGAGGGGAGAGCGGAAUUCCUGGUGGAGCGGUGAAAUGCGUAGAUAUCAGGAGGAACGCCGGUGGCGAGGGCGGCUCACUGGACGACUUCUGACGCUGAGGGACGAAAGCCAGGGGAGCAAACGGG
Molecule: unclassified non-coding RNA, 253 nt
Filed under: uncultured Planctomycetota bacterium
Lineage: Bacteria; Pseudomonadati; Planctomycetota
Description: uncultured planctomycete contains 16S-23S intergenic spacer region
Rfam family: Bacterial small subunit ribosomal RNA
Source: RNAcentral